Molecule: ribosomal RNA, 350 nt
Filed under: uncultured bacterium
Lineage: Bacteria
Description: partial 16S ribosomal RNA
Rfam family: Bacterial small subunit ribosomal RNA
Source: RNAcentral
CCUACGGGAGGCAGCAGUGGGGGAUAUUGCACAAUGGGGGAAACCCUGAUGCAGCGACGCCGCGUGAGUGAAGAAGUAUUUCGGUAUGUAAAGCUCUAUCAGCAGGGAAGAAAAUGACAGUACCUGACCAAGAAGCCCCGGCUAACUACGUGCCAGCAGCCGCGGUAAUACGUAGGGGGCAAGCGUUAUCCGGAUUUACUGGGUGUAAAGGGAGCGUAGACGGUUAUGUAAGUCUGGAGUGAAAGCCCGGGGCCCAACCCCGGGACUGCUUUGGAAACUGUGUAACUGGAGUACAGGAGGGGUAGGGGGAAUGCGGGGGGGAGCGGGGAGAGGGGUAGAUAGCAGGGGGA